Molecule: ribosomal RNA, 465 nt
Filed under: uncultured bacterium
Lineage: Bacteria
Description: partial 16S ribosomal RNA
Rfam family: Bacterial small subunit ribosomal RNA
Source: RNAcentral
CCUACGGGUGGCAGCAGUAGGGAAUCUUCCACAAUGGGCGAAAGCCUGAUGGAGCAACGCCGCGUGGGUGAAGAAGGUCUUCGGAUCGUAAAACCCUGUUGUUAGAGAAGAAAGUGCGUGAGAGUAACUGUUCACGUUUCGACGGUAUCUAACCAGAAAGCCACGGCUAACUCCGUGCCAGCACCCGCGGUAAUACGUAGGUGGCAAGCGUUAUCCGGAUUUAGUGGGGGUAAAGGGAACGCAGGCGGUCUUUUAAGUCUGAUGUGAAAGCCUUCGGCUUAACCGGAGUAGUGCAUUGGAAACUGGGAGACUUGAGUGCAGAAGAGGAGAGUGGAACGCAAGGUGUAGCGGUGAAAUGCGUAGAGAUAUGGAAGAACACCAGUGGCGAAGGCGGCUCUCUGGUCUGUAACUGACGCUGAGGUUCGAAAGCGUGGGUAGCAAACAGGAUUAGAUACCCUUGUAGUC